This 294-nucleotide transfer-messenger RNA is filed under the name bovine gut metagenome. It matches the Rfam family "transfer-messenger RNA". Rfam says of the family: Bacterial tmRNA, also known as 10Sa RNA or SsrA, is named for its dual tRNA and mRNA-like properties. Its role is to liberate the mRNA from a stalled ribosome. To accomplish this part of the tmRNA is used as a reading frame that ends in a translation stop signal. The record is from RNAcentral.
GGGGCUGACUGGCUUUGACAGCGUGUAGAGGUGGUAAGCAAGCAUGCAGAGCGAUAAUGGCAAUGCUCUUAAAUCACAGUCAUUGACUACUUUAAAUGGCGAAAACAACUACGCUCUCGCUGCCUAACCGAAGAACAGUAAGUUCGGCUUUAUCGCUGCCCAAGGGGCAGUGACGAGACAUCACCCAACUUCGUUUCGGGCCUGCCAGCGGUCGAAAACCAAGCCGAGACUAAGCAUGUAGAAACCUUAUUAGUUCCACGUUUGGACGAGGGUUCAAACCCCUCCAGCUCCACA